CUUGGCGACCAUAGCGUUUUGGACCCACCUGAAUCCAUUCCGAACUCAGAAGUGAAACGAAAUAGCGUCGAUGGUAGUGUGGGGUUUCCCCAUGUGAGAGU
Molecule: ribosomal RNA, 101 nt
Filed under: Vibrio vulnificus
Lineage: Bacteria; Pseudomonadati; Pseudomonadota; Gammaproteobacteria; Vibrionales; Vibrionaceae
Source: RNAcentral